Molecule: non-coding RNA, 108 nt
Organism: Acanthosepion pharaonis
Lineage: Eukaryota; Metazoa; Mollusca; Cephalopoda; Sepiida; Sepiidae
Source: the annotation of a GenBank genome assembly
ACCACUGCGGGCUUAUGGAAACACCGGUUCUCUUGCGAUCACCGAAGUUAAAUAAUGCCGAGCUUGGUUAGUACCUAAAUAAGUGACCGAUUUGGAAUACCAGGUGCU